ACCUGGCUGGCUCAGUUGGUGGAGCAUAUGACUGUUGAUCUGGGGGUUGUGGGUCCAAGCCCCAUGUUGGGUG
Molecule: transfer RNA, 73 nt
Filed under: Mustela putorius furo (domestic ferret)
Lineage: Eukaryota; Metazoa; Chordata; Mammalia; Carnivora; Mustelidae
Also listed under: 1 other name
Rfam family: tRNA
About the family: Transfer RNA (tRNA) molecules are approximately 80 nucleotides in length. Their secondary structure includes four short double-helical elements and three loops (D, anti-codon, and T loops). Further hydrogen bonds mediate the characteristic L-shaped molecular structure. tRNAs have two regions of fundamental functional importance: the anti-codon, which is responsible for specific mRNA codon recognition, and the 3' end, to which the tRNAs corresponding amino acid is attached (by aminoacyl-tRNA synthetases). tRNAs cope with the degeneracy of the genetic code in two manners: having more than one tRNA (with a specific anti-codon) for a particular amino acid; and 'wobble' base-pairing, i.e. permitting non-standard base-pairing at the 3rd anti-codon position.
Source: Rfam by way of RNAcentral